RNAcentral lists this unclassified non-coding RNA (826 nucleotides) under Bradyrhizobium sp. CCBAU 45281. Its description in RNAcentral is "partial contains 16S-23S ribosomal RNA intergenic spacer and 23S ribosomal RNA". The stretch from base 183 to 256 matches the Rfam family "tRNA". The record is from RNAcentral. Lineage: Bacteria; Pseudomonadati; Pseudomonadota; Alphaproteobacteria; Hyphomicrobiales; Nitrobacteraceae.
GUUUUAGAAACAUCAGUGGCCAACAGAUCGCCAGAUCGUUGAGCUGCAUUGGCGGGAUUUCGCCGUCUACGUUUCUCUUUCUUCGCGGACGAACACGCGCCGGGGCUGCGCUGUGCGAUUGCAUCUGCGCUUGUCGCGGUUGCUUGCACGCAAGACCCUAGUCCUGAUGAGGAUAGCGUUAGGGGCUUGUAGCUCAGUUGGUUAGAGCGCGCGCUUGAUAAGCGUGAGGUCGGAAGUUCAAGUCUUCCCAGGCCCACCACUUUCAUCGAGCGAGCAUUCGUCUUCUGGUUACGGGGCCAUAGCUCAGCUGGGAGAGCGCGUGCUUUGCAAGCAUGAGGUCGUCGGUUCGAUCCCGUCUGGCUCCACCAGAUGGCUUGAUCACCGAGAUCUUGUACCGUCGUCCGCGAAACAUCACUUCGCAUUCACUAGUCUGGAUAGACAGUGAACUGCGUGUUUUCUGACAUCGUAAAGAGGAGAUCGAUCCGAGUUGGGUCGUGCAGCAUAUCGUUGCGCGAGCCUUCAUUAUCUCCGGAUCAUUUUCGGCGCUCGACGCUGACCGCAAGGUUGGCUGCGAGUUGUAAAAUGAUCCUUUUAGCGAAGCUUGACCGCCUCGCUAUCGGAACGAUCUUACGAAGCAAGCUGGUCUUUCUAGUCAAUGUCCGGCUGUACGUAGCAUUCAUCGAGGGUGCGCGCCGCGAGGCAAUCGUACAGACAACAUUCUGCCGAGUGUGUGGACAUUGAUAAUGAGAGCAAUCAAGUGCCUUAAGGGUGUUCGGUGGAUGCCUUGGCGCUGAGAGGCGAUGAAGGACGUGCUACGCUGCGAUAA